This 498-nucleotide ribosomal RNA is filed under the name uncultured bacterium. Its description in RNAcentral is "partial 16S ribosomal RNA". It matches the Rfam family "Bacterial small subunit ribosomal RNA", at positions 28 to 507 of the family's 1533-position model. The record is from RNAcentral.
GACGAACGCUGGCGGCGUGCCUAAUACAUGCAAGUCGAACGAGAGCGACCGGUGCUUGCACUGGUCAAUCUAGUGGCGAACGGGUGAGUAACACGUGGGUAACCUGCUCAUCAGAGGGGGAUAACAUCCGGAAACGGAUGCUAAAACCGCAUAGGUCUUCGAGCCGCAUGGCUUGAAGAGGAAAAGAGGCGCAAGCUUCUGCUGAUGGAUGGACCCGCGGUGCAUUAGCUAGUUGGUGAGGUAACGGCUCACCAAGGCCGUGAUGCAUAGCCGACCUGAGAGGGUGAUCGGCCACAUUGGGACUGAGACACGGCCCAAACUCCUACGGGAGGCGGCAGUAGGGAAUCUUCCGCAAUGGACGCAAGUCUGACGGAGCAACGCCGCGUGAGUGAAGAAGGUUUUCGGAUCGUAAAACUCUGUUGUUAGAGAAGAACAAGUGCUAGAGUAACUGUUAGCGCCUUGACGGUAUCUAACCAGAAAGCCACGGCUAACUACGUG